GCAUGAUUCAGUGUGAAAAGCCCUGGCAGUAUAGGAUGGUCCCGCGUCUGAUUAGCUGGUUGGUGAGGUAACGGCUCACCAAGGCGACGAUCAGUAGCCGGCUUGAGAGAGUGAACGGCCACAUUGGGACUGAGACACGGCCCAAACUCCUACGGGAGGCAGCAGUGGGGAAUAUUGCACAAUGGGGGAAACCCUGAUGCAGCGACGCCGCGUGAGUGAAGAAGUAUUUCGGUAUGUAAAGCUCUAUCAGCAGGGAAGAAAACAGACGGUACCUGACUAAGAAGCCCCGGCUAACUACGUGCCAGCAGCCGCGGUAAUACGUAGGGGGCAAGCGUUAUCCGGAAUUACUGGGUGUAAAGGGUGCGUAGGUGGCAUGGUAAGUCAGAAGUGAAAGCCCGGGGCUUAACCCCGGGACUGCUUUUGAAACUGUCAUGCUGGAGUGCAGGAGAGGUAAGCGGAAUUCCUAGUGUAGCGGUGAAAUGCGUAGAUAUUAGGAGGAACACCAGUGGCGAAGGCGGCUUACUGGACUGUCACUGACACUGAUGCACGAAAGCGUGGGGAGCAAACAGGAUUAGAUACCCUGGUAGUCCACGCCGUAAACGAUGAGUACUAGGUGUCGG
Molecule: ribosomal RNA, 620 nt
Filed under: uncultured bacterium
Lineage: Bacteria
Description: bacterial SSU rRNA
Rfam family: Bacterial small subunit ribosomal RNA
Source: RNAcentral